RNAcentral lists this ribosomal RNA (253 nucleotides) under uncultured bacterium. RNAcentral's name for it is "partial 16S ribosomal RNA". It matches the Rfam family "Bacterial small subunit ribosomal RNA", at positions 524 to 776 of the family's 1533-position model. The record is from RNAcentral.
UACAUGUGGGGCAAGCGUUGUUCGGAAUUAUUGGGCGUAAAGGGCGCGUAGGCGGCCUGGCAAGUGGAAGGUGAAAUCCCUCGGCUUAACCGAGGAACUGCCCUCCAAACUGCUUGGCUUGAGUCCGGGAGAGGUGAGUGGAAUUCCCAGUGUAGCGGUGAAAUGCGCAGAUAUCAGGAGGAACACCGGUGGCGAAGGCGGGUCUCUGGGCCGAUAUUGACGCUGAGGAGCGAAAGCGUGGGGAGCGAACAGG